CGCUGGCGGCGUGCCUAACACAUGCAAGUCGAGCGGAGUCAGUAAGAGGAAGUUUCGGAUGGAAUCUUAUUGAUUUAGCGGCGGACGGGUGAGUAACGCGUGAGCGACCAACCUUGCACAGGGGGAUAACGGACCGAAAGGUUCACUAAUACCGCAUGAGACCACGGUGUUGCAUGACACAGGGGUCAAAGGAGUAAUCCGGUGCAAGACGGGCUCGCGUCCGAUUAGGUAGUUGGAGGGGUAACGGCCCACCAAGCCUAUGAUCGGUAGCCGACCUGAGAGGGUGAUCGGCCACAUUGGAACUGAGAUACGGUCCAAACUCCUACGGGAGGCAGCAGUGGGGAAUAUUGGGCCAAUGGGGGAAACCCUGACCCAGCAACGCCGCGUGAAGGAAGAAGGUUUUCGGAUUGUAAACUUCUGUCCUUGGUGAAGAGAAGAAGACGGUAGCCAAGGAGGAAGCCCCGGCUAACUACGUGCCAGCCGCCGC
This 487-nucleotide ribosomal RNA is filed under the name uncultured bacterium. RNAcentral describes it as "bacterial SSU rRNA". It matches the Rfam family "Bacterial small subunit ribosomal RNA", at positions 34 to 518 of the family's 1533-position model. The record is from RNAcentral.